AUAUUGGACAAUGGGCGCAAGCCUGAUCCAGCAAUGCCGCGUGUGUGAAGAAGGCCUGCGGGUUGUAAAGCACUUUCAGUAGAGAAGAAAAGCCUACGGUUAAUACCCGUGAGUCUUGACGUAACCUACAGAAGAAGCACCGGCUAACUCCGUGCCAGCAGCCGCGGUAAUACGGAGGGUGCAAGCGUUAAUCGGAAUUACUGGGCGUAAAGCGCGCGUAGGCGGUUUUGUAAGUCGGAUGUGAAAUCCCCGGGCUUAACCUGGGAACUGCAUUCGAUACUGCAUAACUAGAGUAUGGUAGAGGGAAGUGGAAUUCCGGGUGUAGCGGUGAAAUGCGUAGAUAUCCGGAGGAACACCAGUGGCGAAGGCGACUUCCUGGGCCAAUACUGACGCUGAGGUGCGAAAGCGUGGGGAGCAGACAGGAUUAGAUACCCUGGUAGUCCACGCCGUAAACGAUGAGAACUAGAUGUCGGGAGGAUUUGCUUUUCGGUGUCGCAGCUAACGCGUUAAGUUCUCCGCCUGGGGAGUACGCCGGCAACGGUAAAACUCAAAGGAAUUGACGGGGACCCGCACAAGCGGUGGAGCAUGUGGUUUAAUUCGAUGCAACGCGAAGAACCUUACCUGCCCUUGACAUUGACAGAAUCCUGUAGAGAUACGGGAGUGCUUCGGCCUGGAAAACAGGUGCUGCAUGGCCGUCGUCAGCUCGUGUCGUGAGAUGUUGGGUUAAGUCCCGCAACGAGCGCAACCCUUGUCCUUAGUUGCCAGCACGUAAUGGUGGGAACUCUAGGGAGACUGCCGGUGACAAACCGGAGGAAGGUGGGGACGACGUCAAGUCAUCAUGGCCCUUAUGGGCAGGGCUACACACGUGCUACAAUGGGGAGUACAGAGGGCCGCCAACCAGCAAUGGUGAGCCAAUCCCUUAAAGCUUCUCGUAGUCCGGAUCGGAGUCUGCAACUCGACUCCGUGAAGUCGGAAUCGCUAGUAAUCGCGAAUCAGAAUGUCGCGGUGAAUACGUUCCCGGGUCUUGUACACACCGCCCGUCACACCAUGGA
This 1052-nucleotide ribosomal RNA is filed under the name uncultured Gammaproteobacteria bacterium. Its description in RNAcentral is "bacterial SSU rRNA". It matches the Rfam family "Bacterial small subunit ribosomal RNA", at positions 361 to 1408 of the family's 1533-position model. Lineage: Bacteria; Pseudomonadati; Pseudomonadota; Gammaproteobacteria. The record is from RNAcentral.